UGGGGAAUAUUGCGCAAUGGGGGAAACCCUGACGCAGCGACGCCGUGUGAGGGAAGAAGGCUUUCGGGUCGUAAACCUCUGUCAGGAAGGAAGAACCUCUCAAGGCUGAACAAGCCUUGGGACUGACGGUACUUCCAGAGGAAGCACCGGCUAACUACGUGCCAGCAGCCGCGGUAAUACGUAGGGGGCAAGCGUUGUCCGGAUUUACUGGGUGUAAAGGGUGCUCAGGCGGAUUUGUAAGUCAGAGGUGAAAUCUUACAGCUUAACUGUGAAACUGCCUUUGAUACGGCAAGCCUAGAGUAUGGAAGAGAGUGAUGGAAUAUCUGGUGUAGCAGUGAAAUGCGUAGAUAUCAGAUAGAACACCAAUGGCGAAGGCAGUCACUUGGUCCAUUACUGACGCUAAAGCACGAAAGCGUGGGUAGCAAACA
RNAcentral lists this ribosomal RNA (428 nucleotides) under uncultured bacterium. Its description in RNAcentral is "bacterial SSU rRNA". It matches the Rfam family "Bacterial small subunit ribosomal RNA", at positions 355 to 774 of the family's 1533-position model. The record is from RNAcentral.